RNAcentral lists this ribosomal RNA (496 nucleotides) under uncultured bacterium. RNAcentral describes it as "partial 16S ribosomal RNA". It matches the Rfam family "Bacterial small subunit ribosomal RNA", at positions 29 to 507 of the family's 1533-position model. The record is from RNAcentral.
AUGCACGCUGGCGGCGUGCCUCAUCCCUGCCGGUCGCGCGAACGGACGAGAAGCUUGCUUCUCUGAUGUUAGCGGCGGACGGGUGAGUAACACGUGGAUAACCUACCUAUAAGACUGGGAUAACUUCGGGAAACCGGAGCUAAUACCGGAUAAUAUUUUGAACCGCAUGGUUCAAAAGUGAAAGACGGUCUUGCUGUCACUUAUAGAUGGAUCCGCGCUGCAUUAGCUAGUUGGUAAGGUAACGGCUUACCAAGGCAACGAUGCAUAGCCGACCUGAGAGGGUGAUCGGCCACACUGGAACUGAGACACGGUCCAGACUCCUACGGGAGGCAGCAGUAGGGAAUCUUCCGCAAUGGGCGAAAGCCUGACGGAGCAACGCCGCGUGAGUGAUGAAGGUCUUCGGAUCGUAAAACUCUGUUAUUAGGGAAGAACAUAUGUGUAAGUAACUGUGCACAUCUUGACGGUACCUAAUCAGAAAGCCACGGCUAACUACGUG